AUGGAUGGACCCGCGUCGCAUUAGCUAGUUGGUGAGGUAACGGCUCACCAAGGCAACGAUGCGUAGCCGACCUGAGAGGGUGAUCGGCCACACUGGGACUGAGACACGGCCCAGACUCCUACGGGAGGCAGCAGUAGGGAAUCUUCCGCAAUGGACGAAAGUCUGACGGAGCAACGCCGCGUGAGUGAUGAAGGCUUUCGGGUCGUAAAACUCUGUUGUUAGGGAAGAACAAGUGCUAGUUGAAUAAGCUGGCACCUUGACGGUACCUAACCAGAAAGCCACGGCUAACUACGUGCCAGCAGCCGCGGUAAUACGUAGGUGGCAAGCGUUAUCCGGAAUUAUUGGGCGUAAAGCGCGCGCAGGUGGUUUCUUAAGUCUGAUGUGAAAGCCCACGGCUCAACCGUGGAGGGUCAUUGGAAACUGGGAGACUUGAGUGCAGA
This 440-nucleotide ribosomal RNA is filed under the name uncultured bacterium. Its description in RNAcentral is "bacterial SSU rRNA". It matches the Rfam family "Bacterial small subunit ribosomal RNA", at positions 221 to 652 of the family's 1533-position model. The record is from RNAcentral.